RNAcentral lists this ribosomal RNA (327 nucleotides) under uncultured eukaryote. Its description in RNAcentral is "partial 18S ribosomal RNA". It matches the Rfam family "Eukaryotic small subunit ribosomal RNA", at positions 1470 to 1796 of the family's 1831-position model. The record is from RNAcentral.
CCCUUAGAUGUUCUGGGCCGCACACGCGCUACACUGAAGGAGGCAGCGUGUACUCCUGGAUCGAAAGAUUUGGGUAACCCGCGAAUCUCCUUCGUGCUAGGGAUUGAGGUUUGCAAUUAUCCUUCAUGAACGAGGAAUUCCCAGUAAGUGCAAGUCAUAAGCUUGCGCUGACUACGUCCCUGCCCAUUGUACACACCGCCCGUCGCUACUACCGAUUGAAUGAUUUAGUGAGGACUUCGGACUGGGACCGAUGCGGCUUUCGGGCUGCGUCGGUAUUCUGGAAAGAUGUCCAAACUGUAUCAUUUAGAGGAAGUAAAAGUCGUAACA